UCGUUUAGCUAUGAAAGCCCAGCUAGGCAAUGACGCGAGCUCAUCCAGUAACUCUCUAAAUGGUGAACGUUGCAUAUGGCGCGACUUUUGGAAGAUCCCAGCACCGCCUAAGGUGAAGAUUUUUGCCUGGCGAUUGGCUACGAACGGAUUAGCUACUCAGGAGAACCGGAGGAAGAGCAAAUUGGUGAUAGAUGAUACGUGCCGCAUCAGUGGUUCUGAACAGGAAAAUGCAUUCCACGCCGUGGUAUCUUGUCCUAAGUCUGUGGCUCUACGACAGGAGAUCGGCCAGACCUGGAACACGCCUGAUGACACCUUGCUUCGGUAUGAUGGACCGGAUUGGUUGCUGCUGCUCCUCCUGGACAAAUUGAGUGGGGAGGAUAGAGUUAAAUUUCUUCUGGUCCUGUGGCGUUCCUGGCAUUUGAGGAAUGAUUCGUUGUUUGGGCAGGGUAAGGCGUCAGUUCGGAGCUCGGUCCUGUUUCUUCAAAGUUUCUGGGAAACUCUUUCCCAAAUUAAGGUUGGUGGUGCAGUGGAUGUGAAGGGGAAAUCUCCUGUGGGGAAUCGAUGGAAGGCGCCACCGGUGGGAUGGGUUAAAAUAAAUGUUGAUGGGGAGAAGCGGGGGCUGGCGUUGUUAUCAGGGACCAUCUGGGGAGUGUCCUGCUAUCUUCUUGGAAAGAGGAGGCAGAAGCAACUGCGUGUAUGGAAGGGAUCCGACUCGCGGCGGAAUGGGUAA
RNAcentral lists this long non-coding RNA (730 nucleotides) under Oryza sativa Indica Group (long-grained rice). Its description in RNAcentral is "lncRNA OsZS97_03G016860". Lineage: Eukaryota; Viridiplantae; Streptophyta; Magnoliopsida; Poales; Poaceae. The record is from RNAcentral.